This 403-nucleotide ribosomal RNA is filed under the name uncultured bacterium. Its description in RNAcentral is "bacterial SSU rRNA". It matches the Rfam family "Bacterial small subunit ribosomal RNA", at positions 362 to 758 of the family's 1533-position model. The record is from RNAcentral.
UUUUGGACAAUGGGCGCAAGCCUGAUCCAGCCAUGCCGCGUGAGUGAAGAAGGCCUUCGGGUUGUGAAGCUCUUUCGGCGGGGACGAAACGGUUCGUGCUAAUACCACGGACUACUGACGGUACCCGCAGAAGAAGCACCGGCUAACUACGUGCCAGCAGCCGCGGUAAUACGUAGGGUGCAGGCGUUAAUCGGAAUUACUGGGCGUAAAGCGUGCGCAGGCGGUUUGUUAAGACAGGUGUGAAAUCCCCGGGCUUAACCUGGGAAUUGCGCUUGUAACUGGCAGACUGGAGUGUGGCAGAGGGGGGUGGAAUUCCAAGUGUAGCAGUGAAAUGCGUAGAUAUUUGGAGGAACACCAGUGGCGAAGGCGGCUCACUGGCCCGAUACUGACGCUGAGCACGAAA